CCUACGGGUGGCAGCAGUGAGGAAUAUUGGUCAAUGGGCGCGAGCCUGAACCAGCCAAGUCGCGUGAGGGAAGACGGUCCUAUGGAUUGUAAGCCUCUUUUGUCGGGGAGCAAAAGACGCCACGCGUGGCGUUCCGAGAGUACCCGAAGAAAAAGCAUCGGCUAACUCCGUGCCAGCAGCCGAGGUACUACGGAGGAUGCGAGAGUUAUCCGGAUUUAUUGGGGUUAAGGGGGGCCCGGGCGGAAGAUCAAGUCAGCGGUAAAAUUGAGGGGCUCAACCCCUUCGAGCCGUUGAAACUGGUUGUCUUGAGUGAGUGAGAAGUAUGCGGAAUGCGUGGUGUAGCGGUGAAAUGCAUAGAUAUCACGCAGAACUCCGAUUGCGAAGGCAGCAUACCGGCGUUCAACUGACGCUCAUGCACGAAAGUGUGGGUAGCGAACAGGAUUAGAUACCCGAGUAGUC
This 459-nucleotide ribosomal RNA is filed under the name uncultured bacterium. Its description in RNAcentral is "partial 16S ribosomal RNA". It matches the Rfam family "Bacterial small subunit ribosomal RNA", at positions 338 to 795 of the family's 1533-position model. The record is from RNAcentral.